Molecule: ribosomal RNA, 433 nt
Filed under: uncultured bacterium
Lineage: Bacteria
Description: partial 16S ribosomal RNA
Rfam family: Bacterial small subunit ribosomal RNA
Source: RNAcentral
AACGAACGCUGGCGGCAUGCCUAACACAUGCAAGUCGAACGAGACCUUCGGGUCUAGUGGCGCACGGGUGCGUAACGCGUGGGAACCUGCCCUUAGGUUCGGAAUACCUCCCCGAAAGGGGUGCUAAUACCGGAUAAUGUCUUCGGACCAAAGAUUUAUCGCCUUUGGGUGGGCCCGCGUUGGAUUAGCUAGUUGGUAGGGUAAAAGCCUACCAAGGCGACGAUCCAUAGCUGGUCAGAGAGGAAGAUCAGCCACACUGGGACUGAGACACGGCCCAGACUCCUACGGGAGGCAGCAGUGGGGAAUAUUGGAAAAUGGGCGAAAGCCUGAUCCAGCAAGGCCGCGUGAGUGAUGAAGGCCUUAGGGUUGUAAAGCUCGUUUACCCGGGAUGAUAAUGACAGUACCGGGAGAAUAAGCUCCGGCUAACUCCGUG